RNAcentral lists this ribosomal RNA (458 nucleotides) under Microsporidium sp. group E. RNAcentral describes it as "SSU rRNA". It matches the Rfam family "Microsporidia small subunit ribosomal RNA", at positions 1 to 410 of the family's 1311-position model. Lineage: Eukaryota; Fungi; Microsporidia. The record is from RNAcentral.
CACCAGGUUGAUUCUGCCUGACGUGGACGCUAGUCUCAUAGAUUUAGCCAUGCAUGUGUAAGCGAACGAGAGGGAGCUGCGGACUGCUCAGUAACAGGCGAAUAAUUUAAUCUUUACAAACGGACAAACUCAGGAAACGGAGUGAAAUACGAAAAAGUUGAUAUUUUUAUAAAAGAAAAUCGAAACUAGCUUGAAAAAGCGGUAAAGAAUAAGACGCCAGCCCAUCAGUUAGUAAGUAGGGUAAGGGCCUAUUUAGACGAAUACGGGUACGGGGAAUUAGGGUUUGAUUCCGGAGAGGGAGCCUGAGAGACGGCUACCAGGUCCAAGGACGGCAGCAGGCGCGAAAAUUACCGAAGCUCGAAAUGAGGCGGUAGUAAUGAGACGUAAAUAAAUAAUACAAGGGUAAAAAACUUGUUAAUAACUGGAGGUCAAGUCUGGUGCCAGCAUCCGCGGUAAUA